GCUUGGGGUUUAGUUUGGUGGUAGAAUGCUUGCCUAGCAUGCAAGAGGCCCUGUGUUUAAUCCCUAGCAGAGAG
This 74-nucleotide transfer RNA is filed under the name Marmota monax (woodchuck). RNAcentral describes it as "tRNA.Ala". Lineage: Eukaryota; Metazoa; Chordata; Mammalia; Rodentia; Sciuridae. The record is from RNAcentral.